CAGAUUGAGUAGCUGUUUCAAUUCCGCCCAGCAUUUCAUGAAGAACAGGAAUUGCGAGACCAGAUUCCAUGUUGGCGGGUUAACUAAAGCCCGCUCCAUGGAUAAUGUGGCUAACUUCAGUGGGAUCCAAAACAUGGACAACUGGAAAGAGGGCCGUACCUCUGAUGCGUUCCAGCGCCAGAGGAUCCAUUUGAGCCCAGCACAUCUCUGUGGACCAGACCCAGAUCCAGAUCCCCCUCCGGAUCCGGAUCCGUUUUUUCCUUUCAGAUGUUAAACUCACAGGUGAGAAACUCAGAUGGCUGAAGUUGGUGCAAAACCGGGACCAUGUUAA
Molecule: long non-coding RNA, 331 nt
Organism: Engraulis encrasicolus (European anchovy)
Lineage: Eukaryota; Metazoa; Chordata; Actinopteri; Clupeiformes; Engraulidae
Exons: 3
Source: RefSeq, a predicted model, not a curated record